AUUGAACGCUGGCGGCAUGCCUUACACAUGCAAGUCGAACGGUAACGGGCCUUCGGGUGCCGCCGAGUGGCGAACGGGUGAGUAAUACAUCGGAACGUGCCCGAUCGUGGGGGAUAACGAGGCGAAAGCUUUGCUAAUACCGCAUACGAUCUACGGAUGAAAGCAGGGGACCGCAAGGCCUUGCGCGGACUGAGCGGCCGAUGGCAGAUUAGGUAGUUGGUGGGAUAAAAGCUUACCAAGCCGACGAUCUGUAGCUGGUCUGAGAGGAUGAUCAGCCACACUGGGACUGAGACACGGCCCAGACUCCUACGGGAGGCAGCAGUGGGGAAUUUUGGACAAUGGGCGCAAGCCUGAUCCAGCCAUGCCGCGUGCAGGAUGAAGGCCUUCGGGUUGUAAACUGCUUUUGUACGGAACGAAAAGCCUUCUUUUAAUACAGGAGGGUCAUGACGGUACCGUAAGAAUAAGCACCGGCUAACUACGUG
RNAcentral lists this ribosomal RNA (482 nucleotides) under uncultured bacterium. RNAcentral's name for it is "partial 16S ribosomal RNA". It matches the Rfam family "Bacterial small subunit ribosomal RNA", at positions 30 to 507 of the family's 1533-position model. The record is from RNAcentral.